GUUCUAGUCCCGGUCGGGGCGCCGGAUUCUUUCCCGGUUGCCCCCCUUCCAGGCCAGCUCUCUGCUGUGGCCAGGGAGUGCAGUGGAGGAUGGCCCAAGUGCUUGGGCCCUGCACCCCAUGGGAGACCAGGAGAAGCACCUGGCUCCUGCCUUCGGAUCAGCGCGGUGUGCCGGCCGCAGCCCGCCAGCCGCGGCGGCCAUUGGAGGGUGAACCAAUGGCAAAGGAAGACCUUUCUCUCUGUCUCUCUCUCUCUCUCUCACUGUCCUUUCUGUCUUCAUUAGCAAACAAUGUAGAAUUUACAAUUCAAAAGGCUUUUUUAGUUCACUGGAGACAAAAUUUAAAGAAAACUUUCUCUUAUAUUUGCAUUUUGCAGCAAUCUAUCAAUCAUUUACAUUUCAUUACAUUCCUUGUAAUGAAUCAGUAAAAAAUAUUUGCUAAACAAAUAAUUGCUUCAGGAAAGGACACUGAGAAAUUGAUUUCAACACACCUACCUUUGCACACAUUCUCCUGUGCGGAAGUUCACCUGACUGCCAAGCCCUGCCAGCGCUCCAGUUGCCAAAAAUGGUGAGUUGCCUGCAAGCUAGCCAUGUGAUGCUUUUCUAGCCCACUCAGGUGGAGGGCCUUUAAAAUUAACAUACUGAUAAGGAGACAACCAGACAAAGCCAAUUGAGGGAUAUUCUACAUUAAGCUGUUCUCAACACUACAAAAAUGUCAGUGCCAUGGAUGACAAAGGAACGGGUGGCACCCAAAUGCUACAGUACAAUGGGAGUUUGAAUUGGAAAUGAAUUCAUGCACUAUCCAGGGCAACCUCUCAGGUAGUAUAAGAAUCCUCAGCAGGACCUUUCUGUGAUGGACAGUCCUGUAAUCUGGGCUUGGACUUUGACAGAACCAAGGAGGUUAUAAUUCAUCAUGUCCCAAGAGGGCACACAUGCUGGAGUCUAUUUCAAAGGUUGUUGCCCUCUAUGUACCAGCAUUACAAUUAUUCAUGAGAUGCUCCUCCUGCUCUGACUUUGGGAUGCUGGUUACUGGAAAAGCAGACAUAUGGACUCAAGAUGUCCUACUGGGCUCCCACUCUGAGUCAGGAGUGCACAGAGGCAGCUGCACCAUUUACAGCCUAAUUGCUAGUGUCGUAGAUCACAGGAUGCCCAAAGUUCACCGGGAGGAGAUGAAGAUGUCAGAGAGGACCCCUGAAGAGACACAUCAAAAGCUUCCCCUUUCUGACUUUCUUGAUAAGGACUCCAAAUGUGUACUGAGGGUUGUGUGUUGUUAUGGCGACCAGAGGGGAACAACUUGGGAUGUAAAGGAAGAAAAUAAGUUGGAAAGAAUCACAUCUUCAAAAUCUUUCCAUAUGACAUAUUUCUGAAAUAAUGGUACGUUGAAGGAUGUGCAGGUAGGCUGUAGGGUGAGGGUGGACUUUGCAGAGUUAAGUUCCAAUUUUCUUUUUAUGAAAGAAAAAAGUGCAUAGAGUCCAAGUAUAAGCUCUGACACUCCAAAACCUAGUUUCAUAGCUAGCCUCUGCUAAUUCCCUGCACUGAAGUCUUGAUGUGGUCACUUGAUCACUCUGGACCUGUCAAAAGGAGAUAAUGUUCUGAGGAUUAAAUGAGUCCGCCAUCACUUUACCAAGCAUUCACAUUGCGCAUAAGUGGCCAAUGCAUUUUUGGUUCUCAGGAUUUCCUUUUUUUCAUAAGAGGAGUCCAGCCUAUGGAUAACAUGCAGGUUCAGGAGUCAAUCUUUUUUUAGUCACCUGAUGCUGGGCAAGCCACUCACCUUUCCAAACCUCAACUUUCCCAUUUGUAAACUGGGGAUAUUUGUAUUGGAUAUUUCAUAAAGCUUCCUUAAAAUAAUGGAAAAAAUUCCCUUACAUGUAAGAAAUCUAACACUAUCUACCAUAUUGUAAAUGCUUAACAAUAUGAGCUUUUAUUAUUCCAGGAAAUUGUAACUAGCAAGGUGACAGGAUAUAGGGAGAGGGGGUGGAUAGUGAAAUAAUGGUUCUCUGUUUUGCUUGAAGCAGGAUUUUUCUUCUAGAAUAUGAAUUGCUACUAAAGAAAAAUAAUCUUUGAAUUUCCCCUUAUCCAGUCUUACAAACUAUUAUAGAAACAGUACAUAUGAAAAAAUGUAUUUGUAGAAAGAAUAUCUUUAUCAUCGUAUCAUAUAUAAUGUUGAACUAUUAUCUUAAUGAUUGCCAUGAGAACAUUUAAAAAUACCCAACAGCUCUCACUGGUCAAUAAUUAUAUGGUGAAAAUUAUAUUGAAAAAGGAUUAAAGUGCAAUGUCUCUCAGUUCCUUAAAUUGAAAUUUUAUGACUCAAUGGUUAUCACCUCAUAAUGGUAUAUUCUUUGUAUGUACAUUGAAUUGAUGUUCUUAACUAUUCACUGCCUUCCAAGAGCCAAGCACGCAUUCCUGUUUUGAUGAUGCUGUAUUUGGCCAUAUGACAUUUUGAUCAAGGGCAGGUUUUGAGAAGACAUGUGCGUUAUCUGGCACAUUACUCAUAACCUGAGAUCCUGCUUUCUGCUAUACAGCAGCAAGUUCUAGAGAAUGAAAGGCCUCUCUUUCAGAGGAGUCACAUGUAACCCAAAAGUGCCAAGCAGAACCUGGCAAAAUCAAAACAGAUCUGCAGCUGUCUUCAAAUGUGAACCAUAAAUUGAAUAUUUGCUUUUGCAAGCCACUAGGAGUUAAUGGUUGGUUGUUGUUGCAAAAAUCAAACAAUAAAUAUAUAACUAUAUAUAGAGGAAUUAAUAUUCCUAUUUGGCAGAGGAGCAACAAAAUCAAAUAUGGUAAAUAACUUGCCACAAUAAUUUUUGGUCAAAUCGGGAUUCAACUCAAGAUGAUCUGUCUCUAAAAUGUUAGACAACAUGGAAUACUGUAGUCUAAGGAUGGAAUCUAUUAGGGAAAGCUCUAUAAUGUGAGGUUUUAAAGGUGAAACAUGGACAAAAUCUAACAUUUCAUAUGCUCCCACCUAAGAAUGCUCAAUGUAUUUAUUAAAAAAAUAAAUGAAGCAAAGCACAUAUAUUCUGGACAGAUCCAAAAGAACAUAAUAAAUAUUGAGAAAAAAUAAAUAUUUCUAGGGCCAAAUCUUUUGUUAAAUUGCAUUUAUGUAGGUGACCCAGACACACACACAACAAAAUCUAUACUGAAUUCCACUCAAACUGGAUUACAUUCUCAUGGAUGAAUUGCUGUUUGGCUUAGUGGCUAAGAUGCCUACGGCCCAUAUAAGAGUACCUGACUUUGAUGUCCAACUCUGGUCCCGACUCCAGCUUCCUGCUAAUGAAGACCCUGGUAGGCAGUGGUUAUGGUUAAAAUAAUUGAGUUCCUGGCAUCUGUGUGACCUGUACUGAAUUCUCAGCUCCUGGCUUCAGUCUGGCUAAGCCAGGGCCAUUGUGGGUAUUGGGAGAGCCAACCAGUGAAUGAAAAAUAUUUCUUCCUGUUUAAAUCUAUCUCUCAAAUAAAUAAAUCAAAUAUUAUUUAAAUUUGUAAGGAGAAAAGAAGUCAGAUUUUUAGUUAAAUUCCUUUCAAUUCUUAGCAAGGUCCCCACGGACCCUUCUGUAUAAACUGUGGCCUUAAGAAAGGCCUCUGGGCCUCCUUGACUUUCUCUAGUUACCCCUGCUUUGAGGAUUUCUCUUCAUUUGAGAAAUGAAUAAUUCAGAGUUAGAAACUCUACAGUGAGUCUCAAAAUCCCCAGCCUCCCAACUUGGUCAUAUCCUCAUUAUGGGAAAAGCCAUUCCAAAAGGCAAACAGCUUUUCAUAAUUGUUAUUUAAUGGAUAUUGCCUGCUCCUGGGAUUUCUUCCUCAGUAUCUAUUUGUAAUUCAAAGGUCAGCAUAAUACCACUGGCAUACACAAGGAUUCUAAGAGAUUUGUUCUUCCUGAUUGAAAUUCAGAUACAGUGACACAGUAGAUUAGUCUAGUUGCCUCUUUGGUGGUGUGGGUCAUAGUUAGCAGGAAUCUCUCCUUAUCAUAAUUCUGGGUGAACCCAGUUACUAGAAAAGACCCAUGAAUGUGGAAUACAGCUGGAAUACUCGUAGGGCCUAAGGGGGAUAUCACCAAGCAGGAAAGCUUCCUAUUCUCCUAUGGCUAUUGUCUCUCCCGUUAACUGAGCCUAAUAUCGCCUAAAUGUGUUUCUCCUUAAGAUAAUUUAAGCAGGAAAAGGUGGCCCCAGAGAGUAUUUUUGGCCUCAUGCAUGUACUUAUUUGCUGGAUUUAUAUGGCACUCUACACUUAAUUAGUGAUGGCAGUCUCAUUUCAAGAUAUUAUACAUUGAAAUAUUAUUCAACAAGAAAGCUAUUUUACCAAGUGGGCAUGCAUGAUGAUUAUUUAUUAGUUUAAAAUACCUCCCUUUUUCCCUUCUCACCAAACGCCACUUCCAUUUUGAAUAAGCUAGAAGCAUUCAUACACUAAGUUUAUGCAUAAAGAUUGGCUGCUUUCAGGUACUUGUAGCUUGAGCUGUAAAGGAGAAAAACAUCAUAAAAGUCACAGCAUUUAUGGUAAAUGCUUGUUUACCUGAAAAACGGAGGCAAAUUAAAAAUCACAAAGGACAAAUGCCAGCAUGGAUUGGAUAUGUGUGUGUAUGUAUGGGUGUGUGUGAGGGUGUGUGACUAUGUAUGUGUAUAUGAAAGAGAGAGAGGGAAAGACAAAGAGUUUUCAUUUUCUUCUUUCUAUUCUAUUUUAUAGCGUGAUAUUUGGAGUUCACCGUUGAGGUUAUUUCCAAUCAAAUUUCAUUCAACCCUAGCCCAAUGUAUAGGUUGUUAGCAUGGAUACUACUGGGUUAUGGGCCACAUAUCCUGUAGGUUUAAAUGGAGGAUAUAAAACUCACUUCUAUAAGGUCAAAAUAAUUCCUCCUCCCCCAGAGAACAUGAUAGUAAUUUUGAAGACAGAAGUUUAAAAGGGAGCAGUCAGCAGUACUUAAAAUAAAAUCUAAGAGAGCAGUUCAAAUUUUUGAACACAACAGGCAAGGUCAUGGGAUCAGUUUUCUGCAUGAAACUCUGACCCUGGUGGCACGCACUGCCUUCCAAUACCCUUCACCCUGCAUAGCAUCAUCACUUCACCAAGCAGUCAUGUUGAUUUGUUGGCUUUUGUUCAGAUUACAGCUUACACAUUGAGGGUGGAUGAGUCUGAAUCAGAGGGUAGACAUUUUGUUUCUGAACCUUAAAUACCCAACAUUUUAAAAGAUGUUAGCAGAGAAAGCUUUCCUUAAGGUUAACAGCAACUGAAAACUGUCAUACAGAGGGCUCACCAUGUGACAGAUGCUGUGUGAAGAGCUUUACAUGCAUCAUCCAUGAUGUAGAGAUCAAAGCUACAUAAAAAUCUAUUGCACACAUCAUGGGUCACUGUGAGACACUUAUCGUUUAUUAUCCAGUGGAUCCUUGAAAAGUGUCUAAACUCACUGUUGCCAAUUUUUCUCCUCCUGUUCUCACUUUCAAUUCACUCAGAUUAUCACCUCCUUCAUUUCAAUCUAACUGCUUUUGUCAAGGUCACCAGUGGCUGCUGUGGUGGUAAAUCCAAGGGUAUUUCUUAGAAUUCAUCUUUCUUGACCUAUCAGCAGCAUUUGAUGCACUUUUUGUUGCUUUUAAUUUGUCAUUUCAAUGGAGAAUAGAAUGAAAGUGUGAUAUGAGACAGUUCCUGAGAAAUUUCAGUUGGAACUCUCCUUCUGAAAAAAAAUAAAAAGAUAUGCUGGCAAAAGUAGGGCAUGGAAUGGACAGAGAAAAAAACAAGCAGAAAAAAUGGCCAUGAAGUGCCAUGAGGCUGAUCUAAGGCUUCAGGAAAGCUCUCUAAGACAUGGAUGAGCCAUGUGGUAAGAUUAAUGUUUCCCAUUCCCUUGGAAAACUUUGUGUGAGGAAAAAUAAUAAUAAGCAUUCUUAUUGAAGUUUAUUUGUGUGCUAGGCACUGAUUUAAAUAAAUUAUAUGCAUUAAUUCAUUUAUUCUUGGGCAAUCCAGAUUCUUAUGCCCAUUUGACAGAUUGAAAACUGAAGCAAACAAAAGUUAAAAACAUUCUCAAGGUCAUUUGUUUAGUAAGUCAAUGUGUCAUGAUUUGGACCAAGAUAAUGAUAACCAUUGUCCCUAUUUCAUAGCAUUUGAAGUCAGCCAUUUACCCGGGAACAUCUGAGCAACAUGCUGAAAAGUUAGAUCCUAUGAAAAUGAUUAAAAAUACACACACAUACAAUAAUACAUGGUUCAGUUGUGUUACAUUCAGUUGUGUUAACAGAAGUGUGCUACAUUGGAAAUUUUCCAGCCACUCUGCCAUGUGCUUCAAAUGGGUUCACUUAAUUCUCACAACAACCCUGUGUGGUAUAAUUACUGAUAUAUUCUCCAUUUUACAGAUGAAGAAACUGAGUCACAAAUGAUUGUCCCUGGAUCACAGAGCUCAUCGGCACUGAGUUUAAUAGGCAUCUGGGAGAUUCUAUUUUCUUAAUGCUUUGCAUGUAUAUAAUUUAAUAAUAAAAAUAAUAAAUCCAUGUAUUGUGACUCUUUUUUCAGUUAGGAGGUAAUUUUAAAAUGUUGUGCAUACUUAAAAAAAAACUUGAGUCUAUUGGUCUAAGGAAGGAACCAAGAAAACUUUUCUAUAAAUGGUCAUACAGCAAAUUUUGUGGCUAUGCAGUCUCUAAUCUAGGUACCCAUCACUGCUGCUGCAGCAGCCAGGCAGCCACAGAAAUUACACAGACGAAUAGGCAUGGCUGUGUUUCAGUAGGACUUAGAUGACAAAAAGUGGUGGCAGAAUGGAUCUGGUUAACGGGCUAUAGUUUCCUGACCCUACACUAGUGCAGUGAAACUGGUGCUGUUUUGUUAACUAGUAUCCUGUUUAAUGAGAAUAGCUCAAAGCAGCUUCAUGACUGUAACAGAGAAUUUUACUUGAUCAUAAUGCAACAAUUCUUACUUUUGUUUUGAGAAUAAAAAUCUACCUUUUUUAAAGCUAGACACAUGAUGGCCUGGAGUUUAACCUGAUCCCUUGCAACAAGCUAUGACCAUGCAAUAGAUUCUCAUUAAUGAGAUAUAAGCAAAUGUUAUAUGUAUAUCUUCUAAAAAUUACUUGCAUAAGGAAAGAGAAUAUACUCUGUCUUGUGGGCUGAUCUAUAGAUAUAAUUUCUGGAGUUCCAGCAGCUAUCUUGAAGCAAGAGGUCACUUUUAGAAAGAAACCACACCUGGUGCAGCAGAAAGAUGUAAGAAACCCAUGUCCUGAAAACCUUGGGGAGCAAGGCAUCCUAUAUCUAGGAUUCUUUUAUAUGAAAGAGAAAUAUACCUCUAUUUUUGUAAACUUGCUACUAUUUGAGUUUUCAGUCACACUUACCUAAUCUAAUGCUGCUUGUGGCAAUGGCCGUGUGUGUGUGUGUGUGUGUAUCCCUCUUAACUACUCAUAUAUAUAUAUAUAUAUAUAUAUAUAUAGGAUGCACUUGUUUCAUGAUACUAGGAAGAUGACAGGAUGGGAAGGUGUUGUGACCUAAGAAAAGAACUCUGAACUUGAAAUCAUAAAACCUGGCCUUGCUGCUCACUGUGUGAUUCUUAGCAAGUUGUUUUAGCAUCACUGACAGUUUCCUUAUUUGAAAAUAGGGUGGCUACAGCUAAUUCACAGCCAUGCUGUAAGGCUAAAGCAAAAUAAAAUAUGUGAAGAUGAUUAUAUAGUAAACAUUUGUAAAAUAUAUAGAUGCAUAUAAAUAUGUAUAUAAUUGUAUUCAUGUAUAUAAUUUUUGUGACUAUUAGAGAUAUACUCAUAUAUAUGGAAAGACAGUGAUGAACACUGAAGUAUUAACAUUAGUUACCUCAACACAGUGAGAUUAAAGACAAUGUGAGGGACAAGCAUUGACCUGUGUCCCAUAUUGAUAUGCCUACAUUCAAGUCCUGGCUCCAUUCCCAAUUUCAGCUUCCUGCUAACAUGUAUCAUGGGAGGCAGCACUGGUGGUUGGAGUAAUUGAGUCCUUGCAAAAGCUGGAUUGAUUUCCUAUUUACUGGCUUCAGCCUGGCGUAGCCCUGGCUGUUGCAGAUAUUUGCUGAGUAAAACAACGGAUAUGGGGUCUCACUCUGUCUCUGUGUCUUUUUCUCUAGCAUUCAAAUAAAUUAAUUUUUUUUAAUUUCAAAAAAUACAUAUAAGUGUGAAUGGAGAUUUUGAUUUUAUCUUUACAUAUUUAUAUAUUUAUUACAAUGAGCAUAUUUACAAAAUAAAAUAAUGAGUGCAAAUAAAGAGAACUGCAUAUGAAUAUGUAUGCAAAUAUGUAUAUGUAUAUGCAUAUCUAGCAUGAUAAAAGGCAAAUACAGAACCCAUGUUUGCUGAAACCCAAUAUGAUAAGCUUCAGGAAACAUCAGUUAUUGCAGAUAAUUUUCUUUUGACUCACAAGAGGAAGACAGAAAGUAGAGAAGGGAAAUGUUAGGGAAUUUAACUAAGGGGUAUUCUCUCAAGUAUGAUUACUCUGAAUAUAUAAUAGUCACACUAUAUGACUCACAAUUUCCUGAAGGUUUUUAGACGUUUCUGGGCUCUGCAUACACUGACCUAUGCUGUUCCUUCCAACAUGGAAUUUUAUUCCCAGCUUCACACACUUUGGCUCAUUUUUAAACUCUAAUAUAUUUUUAUGAAGGCUAUUCCAGUUCCCUCAACUAGGAUACCAUUCUUUGUAAUUCUCCAUACACUAAAAAAUGCCUACCAUACUAUCUUAUAGUUAUUUACUUAUAUGUUUUUAUUCCAAUGUAGAAUGAGCAGCAAAGACAUCUCCUCUUUCUCACUCAUUCAUUCAAAGUUCUUUUUUAGUGCCUUUACAUCAGAUGAAGUUUUAUAUUCAGGGAUUAUAGUAGUGGACAAAAUAGACAAUCAUCCUCCCCUCAUGAAGCUUAAAUUUCACUGUGGGAGACUAAAACAUAGAUAUAAAGUUAAAUAUCUAUACAAUAUCCGAUUCGGACAAGUGUCAGUGGGUGAGAAGGGUUCCAGGAGGGGAUGAUUUUGAGUUUUAAUUUUAGUUUUAAGAGUUCUUUCUUUUAGUGGAAGAGAGAUAGAGAAGGGGAGAGAGAGAGAGAGAGCACAUGCGCUCCAAUCUGACAGUUUACUCUCCAAGUUCCUGCAAUGGCUGGGGAUGCCCUGAAGUUAGAGCCAGAAGGGGGAAACUCAAUCAGGCCUCACACGUUGUUGGCAGAACAAUUACUUGAGCCAUCCCUGCUGUCUCACAGGGUCUGCACUAGACAGAAGCUUAAGUCAGGAGCUAGAGAAGGAUGUUGAACCCAGGCACAAGUGUGGGACUCAGAUGCCCUAACUGCUAGGCUGAAUGUUCAUCCUCAGGACAUACAUUUUAGGUAGAAUAUUUUUCUUGUCCCAACUGCUCCACAUCCUAUCCAACUCCCUGCUAAUGCACCUGGGAACGCAGCAAAAGAUAGCUCAAGUUCCUGGGCUCCUGCACCUUGUGUGAGACAUAGAGAAGGCUCCUGGCUCCUGGCUCCUGGCUCCUGGCUCCUGGCUCCUGGCUCCUGGCUCCUGGCUCCUGGCUUAGGCUCAGCCUUGUGGCCAUUUGGGAAAUGAGCCAGCAGAUGGAAGAUCUCUGUCCUCUCCCCCCUCUCUCUGUAACUCUGCCUUUCACAUAAAUAAAGCUUUUGAAAAAAAAUUCAGUUCUUAAAUGAAGUGUUGUGAUUCUUCUUUAAAAGGUUAAAAAUCUUCCAAAAACUUCUAAGACACUGAAGAACAGGGAGGAAAGACCUCCCUCCACGUGUCUAAGAUGUUUAACAGUGGUGAAUUAUGGUACUGAGGGUAUCUUUAGAGUGCUUUAAAAGUCACUGCAAGAGUAUUUUCACUUCACAUAAUACAAAACACAGCUUAGAUUAGCAAAAAACAACAUCAAAAAUGUUUAUAGAAUUUUAAUAUCAGGGCUGGUGUUGUGGUGUAGUGGGUAAAGCUUCUGCCUAUAAUGGCAGCAUCCCAUGUGGUUCAUGUCCUGGCUGCUCCACUUCUAAUCUAGCUCCCUCCUGAUAGCCUGGGAAUAGCAGCAGAAGAUGGCCCAAGUACUUGGGCCCCUGCCACUCAUGUGAGAAGCCCAGAUGGAUUUCCUGGCUCCUGGCUUUUUCUAGCUCAGUGCUGGCCAUUGAGGCUAUUUGCAGAGUGAACCGGCAGAUGAAAGAUCUCUCUGUGUCUCUCCCUCUCUGUCUAUAAUUUGGACUUUUAAAUAUAUAAAUAAAUCUUUUAAAAUAAGAAAUUUUAAUAUCAGUGAUUUGGGAGAAACAUUCUGUGUGUUUGUAUAAAUUUUAGAUGACGUAGUAUAUCUUUGGAUAGCAUAUGGUUAUGUUAAUAUCAUGUAAAAUGAUGACAAAUAAUGUUUGCUACCUUUCUUGUUAAAAAGGAUAAUACAACUAAAUUUAACCAUGAUGGCUAUUUUGCUAGUGGGACUUCUAAAUAUUCUGUGAAUCAUUUUGAUAGUUCACAUAAAAGAAAAAUAUAAAAGCUUGUAAGUAUGAUAAAAAUCUUGCAUUAUUCUCCAGAAAAGGAGUGUUGGUGUAAUAGGAAACUAAAAUUUGAUACAUUACUUCCAAUCACGGUCUUUACAUCACUUUUAAGACUGUAAAGCACAUGUAGUCAGGCCCCUGGAUCAAGACUGUUUAGAUUUGACACUGGGAUUGUUCUGGAACAUCUUUUUUAUUUUUUUAAAGAGCUGCUAAUUAUUUAUUUAUUUAUUUAUUUGACAGGUAGAGUUAUGGACAGUGAGAGAGACAGAGAGAAAAGUCUUCCUUCCGUUGGUUCACUCCCCAAAUGGCCGCUAUGGGCUGGAGCAACGCUGAUCCGAAGCCAGGAGCCAGGUGCUUCCUCCUGGUCUCCCACGAGGGUGCAGGGGCCCAAGUACUUGGGCCAUCCUCCACUGCCUUCUCGGGCCACAGCAAAGAGCUGGACUGGAAGAGGAGCAACCGGGACUAGAACCCGGAGCCCAUAUGGAUGCCAAUGCCGCAGGUGGAGGAUUAACCUAGUGAGCCACAGCGUCGGCCCCCUCUGAAACAUCUUAUUUGAAUAGUACUUUAAAGGGCAAUCCUCUCCCCAUGUAAACCUACGUUAUUUUAUUUAAUAGGGAUUUCUGCUCCUUUUACAGUCAUUUCAACAAGUAUUUGCAGCUUCUUCUAUGCCUUCGCGAGCAUUCCCCUCUAAGGGAUCAGAGGUCAUGCAGACAGAAAAACAAGGGGCACCUGGCCUGGGCUUCCUUUCCACUCUGCACACUUUGUGUUCUCUUCCUCUGAACAAGAUUCCAGGUUAUAGUCUACAGACCCUUGCCAUUGGAUACUAAUGGGGGGAGGGUUGAGUACUAGGAACUCCAGUUGUUCAUGCCAUGUCUCUAGUCAAACACCAUCACUGUUAAUCUCCAUCUGGUUGAUACCUGAGAUCAUCUCUCAAUUGGAACAGAUCUCAAGGCAGGUGUGAUGGGUCAACUUGACAGGACCACAGACAAAUGAUCACAUAGUAUAUUAAUUAUUCUGUGGAGGUGACAUUGGAUGAGAUUAACAAUUAAAUCAGUGCACUUUGAGUAAAACAGAUUACCCUCUCUGUUAUGGAUGAGCCUCAACUAAUCAGUUGAAGGCCUGAAUAGUACAGAAGACUAACAUCCAUCAACAAGAAGGAAAUCUGCAGCAGAAAGCUCUUAAACUUGAACUGUGACAGUGACUCUUCCCUAGUUCUCUAAUCUACUAGCACAUCCUACAGAUCUUGGAAAGGUCAGCUUCUAUAAUUGCUGAGACAAUUAAA
This is a long non-coding RNA of Oryctolagus cuniculus (rabbit), 11680 nucleotides long. RefSeq lists it as uncharacterized. The record is from RefSeq and is a predicted model, not a curated record. NCBI's taxonomy places the organism in Eukaryota, Metazoa, Chordata, Mammalia, Lagomorpha, Leporidae.